UGAGUACGAUGCUCUACGGAGCAGAAGUGCGUGACGUCAUGCUUCCUAGAAAAUCCCGGACCACGUUAAUCCAAGUCACCCGUACCCGAAACCGACACAGGUGGGUAGGUAGAGUAUACUAAGGGGCGCGAGAUAACUCUCUCUAAGGAACUCGGCAAAAUGACUCCGUAACUUCGGGAGAAGGAGUGCCUUAUUUAUAAGGUUGCAAUAACAAGAUCCAAGCAACUGUUUAUCAAAAACACAGGUCUCCGCUAAGUCGUAAGACGAUGUAUGGGGGCUGACGCCUGCCCAGUGCCAGAAGGUUAAAGAAGUUGGUUAGUGUAUGCGAAGCUGAUGACUGAAGCCCUGGUGAACGGCGGCCGUAACUAUAACGGUCCUAAGGUAGCGAAAUUCCUUGUCGGGUAAGUUCCGACCCGCACGAAAGGCGUAAUGAUUUGGAUACUGUCUCGGAGAGAGGCUCGGUGAAAUAGACUUGUCUGUGAAGAUGCGGACUACCUGCACCAGGACAGAAAGACCCUAUGAAGCUUUACUGUAACUUGAAAUUGGAAUUGGACUUUGCUUGCGCAGUAUAGGUGGGAAGCGUUGAAAAUAUUCUUGCGGGAGUAUUGGAGCUAUCAGUGAGAUACCACUCUUGUAAUGUUAGAUUUCUAACUUUGAACCAUAAUCUGGUCAAAGAACAGUUUCAGGUGGGCAGUUUGACUGGGGCGGUCGCCUCCCAAAUGGUAACGGAGGCGUACAAAGGCUUCCUCUGAACGGAUAGAAAUCGUAUCUAGAGUGUAAAGGCAUAAGGAAGCUUGACUGUGAGACCUACAAGUCGAGCAGGGACGAAAGUCGGUCUUAGUGAUCUGACGGUACUGAGUGGAAAGGCCGUCACUCAACGGAUAAAAGUUACUCUAAGGAUAACAGGCUGAUCUCCCCCAAGAGUUCACAUCGACGGGGAGGUUUGGCACCUCGAUGUCGGCUCAUCGCAUCCUGGGGCGGUAGUACGUCCCAAGGGUUGGGCUGUUCGCCCAUGAAAGCGGUACGCGAGCUGGGUUCAGAACGUCGUGAGACAGUUCGGUCCAUAUCCGGUGUAGGCGCUAGAAUAUUGAGAGGAGCCUUCUUUAGUACGAGAGGACCGAGAAGGACACACCGCUGGUGUACCAGUUAUCGUGCCAACGGUAAACGCUGGGUAGCUAUGUGUGGAGUGGAUAACCGCUGAAAGCAUCUAAGUGGGAAGCCCACCUCGAGAUGAG
Molecule: ribosomal RNA, 1235 nt
Filed under: metagenome
Description: bacterial LSU rRNA
Rfam family: Bacterial large subunit ribosomal RNA
Source: RNAcentral